UAAUUGAAGAGUUUGAUCAUGGCUCAGAUUGAACGCUGGCGGCAGGCCUAACACAUGCAAGUCGGGCGGUAACAGGGAGAAGCUUGCUUCUCCGCUGACGAGCGGCGGACGGGUGAGUAAUGUAUGGGGAUCUGCCUGAUGGCGGGGGAUAACUACUGGAAACGGUAGCUAAUACCGCAUAAUGUCU
RNAcentral lists this ribosomal RNA (187 nucleotides) under Morganella morganii. RNAcentral describes it as "partial 16S ribosomal RNA". It matches the Rfam family "Bacterial small subunit ribosomal RNA", at positions 1 to 181 of the family's 1533-position model. Lineage: Bacteria; Pseudomonadati; Pseudomonadota; Gammaproteobacteria; Enterobacterales; Morganellaceae. The record is from RNAcentral. RNAcentral also lists the same sequence under 1 other name.